CCUACGGGAGGCAGCAGUGGGGAAUAUUGCGCAAUGGGCGAAAGCCUGACGCAGCGACGCCGCGUGAGGGAGGAAGGUCGUCGGAUCGUAAACCUCUGUCAGCAGGGAAGAAGGGUCACUGGGCUAAGCAGCAGUGAAUUGACGGUACCUGCAAAGGAAGAACCGGCUAACUCCGUGCGAGCAGACGCGGUAAGACGGAGGGUGCGAGCGUUAAUCGGAUUUACUGGGCGGAAAGCGCUCGUAGGCGGUAUGUCAAGUCAAGGGUGACAUCCCCGCGCUCAACGUGGGAAAUGCCUUUGAAACUGGCAUACUGGCGUGUGUGAGAGGCUAGUUGAAUUCCCUGUGUAGCGG
This 351-nucleotide ribosomal RNA is filed under the name uncultured bacterium. Its description in RNAcentral is "partial 16S ribosomal RNA". It matches the Rfam family "Bacterial small subunit ribosomal RNA", at positions 338 to 681 of the family's 1533-position model. The record is from RNAcentral.